This 326-nucleotide ribosomal RNA is filed under the name uncultured eukaryote. Its description in RNAcentral is "partial 18S ribosomal RNA". It matches the Rfam family "Eukaryotic small subunit ribosomal RNA", at positions 1470 to 1796 of the family's 1831-position model. The record is from RNAcentral.
CCCUUAGAUGUUCUGGGCUGCACUCGCGCUACACUGAUGCGUUCAACGAGUUUAUAACCUUGCCCGAUAGGGUUGGGUAAUGUUUUAAAAUCGCAUCGUGAUGGGGAUAGAUCAUUGCAACUAUUAGUCUUCAACGAGGAAUUCCUAGCAAGCGCGAGUCAUCAGCUCGUGCUGAUUACGUCCCUGCCCUUUGUACACACCGCCCUUCGCUCCUACCGAUUGAGUGAUCCGGUGAAAAAUUCGGACGGCAGCAGUGUUUUGUUCCUGAACGUUGCAGCGGAAAGUUUAGUGAACCUUAUCACUUAGAGGAAGGGGAANUCGUANCA